RNAcentral lists this microRNA precursor (103 nucleotides) under Marmota monax (woodchuck). The record is from RNAcentral. Lineage: Eukaryota; Metazoa; Chordata; Mammalia; Rodentia; Sciuridae.
AGUGUAAUUUCUGGAUCAUUUGGUAAGGAUAUGUUUAGCUUUGUAACAAGCUAUCAACCUGUCUUUCAAAGUGGCUAUACCAUUUUGUAUUACCACCAGCAGU